UCUARAGCUAAUACAUGCGAAAAAAGCUUGUAGAGUUGUGUAAUCAACUUUGCAGGUGAUGCAUUUAUUAGAUUAAGCCAAUCAAUGUUUGGAGCAGUUAUCGCUGUUUCAACGUUGCUGUGGUGAGUCUGGAUAACUGUGCCGAUCGUAUGGCCUAGAGCCGGCGACAUUUCGAUUAAAUUUCUGCCCUAUCAACUUGUUGGUAAGGUAGUGGCUUACCAAGGUGAUGACGGGUAACGGGGAAUCAGGGUUCGAUUCCGGAGAGGGAGCCUGAGAAAUGGCUACCACAUCCAAGGACGGCAGCAGGCGCGCAAAUUACCCAAUCCAGACACUGGGAGGUGGUGACGAGAAAUACCAGGUCGGUCCCAAAAGGAUUCGACACUGGAAUGAGUUCAAUUUAAGAAUUUGAAUGAGUAGCAACUGGAGGGCAAGUCUGGUGCCAGCAGCCGCGGUAAUUCCAGCUCCAGUAGUGUAUCCAAACGCUGCUGCGGUUAAAACGCUCGUAGUUGGACAAUAGAGUAAUUUAGUGCGGGCGGGAGAUGUAAUUGCUCCAUGUAACUGACUAUUAUGAGUAGUAUAAAGUGGGAAGAAUGAGAUGGGAGGUAAAAGUAAGAUGGCUAUGAUGAAAGUUGUGGUUGUUUUAUUUUUAUUGCUCAUUUUGUUGUUUCAUUUCUUUUGCUUAUUUAUAAUAGUAAAUAGUGCAUGGUAGUAGCAUCUGUCGACCAUGCAGCUAAGUUACUUG
Molecule: ribosomal RNA, 742 nt
Filed under: Myxozoa sp. OBTC 5
Lineage: Eukaryota; Metazoa; Cnidaria; Myxozoa
Description: SSU rRNA
Source: RNAcentral